RNAcentral lists this ribosomal RNA (340 nucleotides) under uncultured eukaryote. RNAcentral describes it as "bacterial SSU rRNA". It matches the Rfam family "Eukaryotic small subunit ribosomal RNA", at positions 1463 to 1805 of the family's 1831-position model. The record is from RNAcentral.
UGUGAUGCCCUUAGAUGUUCUGGGCCGCACGCGCGCUACACUGAUACGCUCACCAAGUUUUGUCCUGCACUGAGGAGUGUGGGUAAUCUUUGAAAUCGUAUCGUGAUGGGGAUUGGUCUUUGUAAUUAUCGGCCACCAACGAGGAAUUCCUAGUAAGCGUGAUUCAUCAAAUCGCGUUGAUUACGUCCCUGCCCUUUGUACACACCGCCCGUCGCUCCUACCGAUUGAAUGGUCCGGUGAAAUCAUCGGAUCGCAGCAAGGGUGGUUCUGCCAGCCUCGCAGCGAAAAGUUGAGUAAACCUUAUCAUUUAGAGGAAGGAGAAGUCGUAACAAGGUUUCCC